AUAAACGUGUUGUUUGCUUUGGUUUGCGUGUCGAUAUGUUAGAAGCGGUUUAGGUCAUAGUUAUUUAACCGUAGCUCCGUUGGAGAUGUGCCAUAUAUGUAAAUGGGCCAGAACGACAAGUAGAAUCAUGUGAACCACUUUGUUUUGCCAUUUAACAAACACAAAAUGUGAUUAGGACAAAUUUGGACAGAAUUAGAAUUUAACAUGUGAGGUCGUUUCGGAGAUGCUAUAUGUCAUUUCCGAUCUCAUUUAAAAUGCCUAGAUAGGUAGUUUAAUUACGCUUCACCUCUUGCCAUGUUUAACAACAUUUAAUAUUGCCGUGUACCUAAUCGAGAUAGAACUAAAUAAUCCGUAUGUGGAGUUUCGUCAAUAUGCAAUUCGUUGCAUAUUGAACUUCACUUAAUGUGUAGUGUUUGAUUGUGUGAUUUGCCAUGCCGUGUCUUGCAUGUAUUCAGCUGCUCAUGCAUCAUAUGUGUUGUGCAUCGUCUGGUGAAUAUCGUGUGUUGAUUUGUGUUUCCGGUUUGCUUCGUCUCGAUAGAGUUCCGCAAGCGUGUCGGAUGUGAGGACCCGUUCGACUACGUCGGUUCGUCUGCUUCACGGAGGCAUUCUUCUUCCAAGCGGGAUCUCAGGCAAGAUGAUCAUUUCCCCAGAUACCAUUACUAUCAUUGUCAUGCUAGUUUUAUUGUUUCUGUCGUUAUGUCUCGUUGCCUACCACAUGUUAAAUUCAGCCUCUCAACAAUGCCAUGAUAACCUUCAACCUGUUCAACCUAGCAAACCACCGAUUGGCUAUGUUACCGCUUGCUUAACCCUGUGUUAGCGUUGCUAGUUGCAGGUGCAGAUGCUUCCAUGUGAAAACAUGGGUUCCUUGCUAUAUCACCAUAUUAAAUGCUAUUUAAUUUAAUGCACAUAUAUACUUGGUAAAAGGUGGAAGGCUCGGCCUUUCUAGCCUGGUGUUUUGUUCCACCUUUGCCCCCUUAAUUUCGGCUACCGGUGUUAUGUUCCAUAAUUGAGCGCUCCUAACACGAUUGGGGUUGUUAUGGGGACCCCCUUGAUAAUUCGUUUUAGAUUAAAGCUGGUCUGGCAAGGCCCAACUUUGGUACUACAUUUGCCUAAACACCUAAUAAAAUUGCAUAGGGACUUUCCGGACCCCGAGGAUAAUUUAAUCAACCCCCGGGCCAGUGCUCCUCAUGAGUGUUGGCCCCACCUGAGCGAUCUCCGGCGCCCCUCUGGUCACCCGGAGGUUUAGCGAUCCCGACGUCUAGCUCAUCCGUCGUGUCCUAAGAACGAGGUACGCGACUCCUAUCGGGAUCGUCGACACGUCGGGCAGCCUUGUUGGAUUAGUUUUACCUUUGACGAGAUAUCUUGUGCAUCGGGAUUCCGGUGAUGCUUUGGUAAUCUCAGAGUUGAGGUUUUCCACUAGGGAAUCCGACGAGAUCGCGAGCUUCGUGAUUGAGGAUUUCUAUGCGGCUUGUGGUAAUUUGUGAUGGACUAGUUGGAGCACCCCUGCAGGGUUAAAUCUUUCGGAAAGCCGUGCCCGCGGUUAUGUGGCAACGUGGAAACUUUGUUCAACACUGGUUCUAGAUAACUUGAAGUUAACUUAAUUAAAAUAUGCCAACUGUGUGCGUAACCGUGACUGUCUCUUUCGUGAGUUCUUUCUUCGAUCGAGGACAUGGUGGGGUUAUGUAUGACGUAGGUAGGUGUUCAGGAUCAUUCAUUUGAUCAUGAGUAGUUUACGUCCGUUAUGCGUAGAUCUUCUCCCUCUUAUUUCUUGUACUCGUAAGUUUAGCCACCAAAUAUAUGCUUAGCCGCUGCUGCAACCUCACCACUUAACCAUACCCCACCCAUUAAGCUUUGCUAGUCUUGAUACCUUUGGAAAUGAGAUUGCUGAGUCCCCUGUGGCUCACAGAUUACUACAACGCCAGUUGCAGGUACAGGUACAGGUUACUUGACGCGAGCGCGUUGAUUGAUCAUUUGGAGUUGCUUCUUCUUCUUCUUCAUCAUCGAUCUAGGAUGGGUUUCAGGCCGGUAGUCUGGGAUAGCAAGGAUGGACAUCGUUCUUCUUUUUCUCGUUUGUUUUCGUCCGUAGUCGGACCCUGCUCUUACUCUUGAUGAUUAUGUAAUGUACUGAUGUGACUCUGAUGUAGCUUGUGGCGAGUGUAAGCCAAUUCUAUAUAUAUAUAUAUAUAUAUAUAUCUUCUUUUCAGUACAUGUACUUGUAACGAUAUCCAUUCUUGCGACACGACGAG
RNAcentral lists this long non-coding RNA (2246 nucleotides) under Hordeum vulgare. Its description in RNAcentral is "long non-coding RNA (HVUL_LNC008615)". Lineage: Eukaryota; Viridiplantae; Streptophyta; Magnoliopsida; Poales; Poaceae. The record is from RNAcentral.